GACGAACGCUGGCGGCGUGCUUAACACAUGCAAGUCGAGCGGAAAGGCCCUUCGGGGUACUCGAGCGGCGAACGGGUGAGUAACACGUGAGUAACCUGCCCUGGACUUUGGGAUAACCCUCGGAAACGGGGGCUAAUACCGGAUACGACUUGGUCUCGCAUGGGAUCGGGUGGAAAGUUUUUCGGUCUGGGAUGGGCUCGCGGCCUAUCAGCUUGUUGGUGGGGUGAUGGCCUACCAAGGCGACGACGGGUAGCCGGCCUGAGAGGGCGACCGGCCACACUGGGACUGAGACACGGCCCAGACUCCUACGGGAGGCAGCAGUGGGGAAUAUUGCACAAUGGGCGGAAGCCUGAUGCAGCGACGCCGCGUGAGGGAUGACGGCCUU
Molecule: ribosomal RNA, 385 nt
Filed under: uncultured bacterium
Lineage: Bacteria
Description: bacterial SSU rRNA
Rfam family: Bacterial small subunit ribosomal RNA
Source: RNAcentral